GACGAACGCUGGCGGCGUGCCUAAUACAUGCAAGUCGAACGCUGAAGAGAGGAGCUUGCUCUUCUUGGAUGAGUUGCGAACGGGUGAGUAACGCGUAGGUAACCUGCCUUGUAGCGGGGGAUAACUAUUGGAAACGAUAGCUAAUACCGCAUAACAAUGGAUGACACAUGUCAUUUAUUUGAAAGGGGCAAUUGCUCCACUACAAGAUGGACCUGCGUUGUAUUAGCUAGUAGGUGAGGUAAUGGCUCACCUAGGCGACGAUACAUAGCCGACCUGAGAGGGUGAUCGGCCACACUGGGACUGAGACACGGCCCAGACUCCUACGGGAGGCAGCAGUAGGGAAUCUUCGGCAAUGGGGGCAACCCUGACCGAGCAACGCCGCGUGAGUGAAGAAGGGUGUCGGAUCGUAAAGCUCUGUUGUAAGUCAAGAACGGGUGUGAGAGUGGAAAGUUCACACUGUGACGGUAGCUUACCAGAAAGGGACGGCUAACUACGUG
Molecule: ribosomal RNA, 497 nt
Filed under: uncultured bacterium
Lineage: Bacteria
Description: partial 16S ribosomal RNA
Rfam family: Bacterial small subunit ribosomal RNA
Source: RNAcentral